AGGUUUGGUCAUUUCCUCCUUAUUAUUCGUUCAUAAAGUAACAGAUAUCGAGUGCCGUCAGACUCAUCUUGAUAUCAGUGGUGCCAUGAAUACCUGAGGAAGAGUGAGAACUGAAGAUGGAUCCUGAGCUUAAUGAAUCCUCUCAUUGAGAGCAACUGAAAUCUGCACAUCA
This 172-nucleotide long non-coding RNA is filed under the name Phasianus colchicus (ring-necked pheasant). RNAcentral describes it as "lncRNA (ENSPCLG00000018028.1)". The record is from RNAcentral. Lineage: Eukaryota; Metazoa; Chordata; Aves; Galliformes; Phasianidae.